UUUUAAUUCAAAUCCUGCGAUAUAUAAAUAAAUGUCGAGUCAAAACGACACAAAAUCAAAAUGAAAACCAAUUUAUUUUCACUAUUUUUAAUCGUAAUUCUAAUAUCGAUGUGCAAGGCGAUAUUUCGAGAGGAUGACGAAGAAUCUGGUAAUCCAUUGACGAGAGCUUUGCCUCGUCCAGCAUUCCCUCCUGAAGAGGAACCAUUUGACAUCUACCUCAAUUACCCGAAAGAUGUCGCUAAUAUCGAAAAUAUGUAUUUGAAAUGCGAAUGGUACGAAAACGAUGAAUAAUUUAUAAAAAAAAUUCUUUAUGAAAUAUGAAUAAAUAAUUGACAGCAA
Molecule: long non-coding RNA, 339 nt
Organism: Tribolium castaneum (red flour beetle)
Lineage: Eukaryota; Metazoa; Arthropoda; Insecta; Coleoptera; Tenebrionidae
Exons: 2
Source: RefSeq, a predicted model, not a curated record